Molecule: unclassified non-coding RNA, 282 nt
Filed under: Hevea brasiliensis (rubber tree)
Lineage: Eukaryota; Viridiplantae; Streptophyta; Magnoliopsida; Malpighiales; Euphorbiaceae
Source: RNAcentral
GAGAGAGUUAGACUCGGUACCAUGGAGAAUGUCGGUAUAGUUGAUCAUUGCUCUCCGUCUAUUUUUCAUCCAGAUGGGGAACCUCAAAAUUCACCAGGAGAGACUGGCGUAUCCAAUGUAGAGGACAAUGAAUCUGAACACCCACUCGUGCAUUAUCCAAAAAGCAAGGCUGUGAAAUCUGGACGUCAAAAUGAAAGAAGAGCUAGAAGAGCAAAGGCAGCACAGAAGAGUGCUGCUAAUGUGAUUCCGGUAAAAUCAAUAUCAUAUACUAGGAAAAAACGU